CCUACGGGGUGCACCAGUGGGGAAUAUUGGACAAUGGGCGCAAGCCUGAUCCAGCCAUGCCGCGUGAGUGAUGAAGGCCCUAGGGUUGUAAAGCUCUUCCACCGGUGAAGAUAAUGACGGUAACCGGAGAAGAAGCCCCGGCUAACUUCGUGCCAGCAGCCGCGGUAAUACGAAGGGGGCUAGCGUUGUCCGGAUUUACUGGGCGUAAAGCGCACGUAGGCGGAUUGGUCAGUUAGGGGUGAAAUCCCAGGGCUCAACCCUGGAACUGCCUUUAAUACUGCCAGUCUUGAGUAUGGAAGAGGUGAGUGGAAUUCCGAGUGUAGAGGUGAAAUUCGUAGAUAUUCGGAGGAACACCAGUGGCGAAGGCGGCUCACUGGUCCAUUACUGACGCUGAGGUGCGAAAGCGUGGGGAGCAAACAGGAUUAGAUACCCCGGUAGUC
This 440-nucleotide ribosomal RNA is filed under the name uncultured bacterium. Its description in RNAcentral is "bacterial SSU rRNA". It matches the Rfam family "Bacterial small subunit ribosomal RNA", at positions 338 to 795 of the family's 1533-position model. The record is from RNAcentral.